GCCGAAGUGGCGGAAUGGCAGACGCCGCGGAUUCAAAAUCCGUUGCCCUCAAAAGCGUGCGGGUUCAAGUCCCGCCUUCGGCACUA
This 86-nucleotide transfer RNA is filed under the name Aristaeella lactis. RNAcentral describes it as "tRNA_Leu_CAA". It matches the Rfam family "tRNA". From Rfam's summary of the family: Transfer RNA (tRNA) molecules are approximately 80 nucleotides in length. Their secondary structure includes four short double-helical elements and three loops (D, anti-codon, and T loops). Lineage: Bacteria; Bacillati; Bacillota; Clostridia; Eubacteriales; Aristaeellaceae. The record is from RNAcentral.